RNAcentral lists this unclassified non-coding RNA (254 nucleotides) under uncultured Acidimicrobiia bacterium. RNAcentral describes it as "contains 16S-23S intergenic spacer region". It matches the Rfam family "Bacterial small subunit ribosomal RNA", at positions 524 to 776 of the family's 1533-position model. Lineage: Bacteria; Bacillati; Actinomycetota; Acidimicrobiia. The record is from RNAcentral.
UACGUAGGGGGCGAGCGUUGUCCGGAAUCAUUGGGCGUAAAGAGCUCGUAGGCGGUUCAGCAAGUCGGCUGUGAAAUUCCGAGGCUCAACCUCGGAACUGCAGUCGAUACUGCUGUGACUCGAGUCCGGAAGAGGAGAAUGGAAUUCCCGGUGUAGCGGUGAAAUGCGCAGAUAUCGGGAGGAACACCAGUAGCGAAGGCGGUUCUCUGGGCCGGUACUGACGCUGAGGAGCGAAAGCGUGGGGAGCAAACAGG